This 239-nucleotide long non-coding RNA is filed under the name Elaeis guineensis (African oil palm). RNAcentral's name for it is "long non-coding RNA (EGUI_LNC078515)". The record is from RNAcentral. Lineage: Eukaryota; Viridiplantae; Streptophyta; Magnoliopsida; Arecales; Arecaceae.
ACUCUGAGGGACCCGGGGGACGAAGACAGAGAUAAUUUGGAAGACACCUACGAGCCGAGAAGAUGCCCACUGAAACAGGGCUCUCGAAGAGAAGGCAGACACUGAUAGAAACUCUAGGGUGGAAUAGGACACCUAAAGGUGGGAGGACGGGUUUAAAUAGACCCUGGGAUCCGAUGCCAUAAUGAUCACGAAUCCCCCCAAGCCAAUCCACGACAGGCACGUGUCCCACUCCCCCCGGC